Molecule: transfer RNA, 72 nt
Filed under: Schistocerca americana (American grasshopper)
Lineage: Eukaryota; Metazoa; Arthropoda; Insecta; Orthoptera; Acrididae
Also listed under: 2 other names
Description: tRNA-Pro
Rfam family: tRNA
About the family: Transfer RNA (tRNA) molecules are approximately 80 nucleotides in length. Their secondary structure includes four short double-helical elements and three loops (D, anti-codon, and T loops). Further hydrogen bonds mediate the characteristic L-shaped molecular structure. tRNAs have two regions of fundamental functional importance: the anti-codon, which is responsible for specific mRNA codon recognition, and the 3' end, to which the tRNAs corresponding amino acid is attached (by aminoacyl-tRNA synthetases). tRNAs cope with the degeneracy of the genetic code in two manners: having more than one tRNA (with a specific anti-codon) for a particular amino acid; and 'wobble' base-pairing, i.e. permitting non-standard base-pairing at the 3rd anti-codon position.
Source: RNAcentral
GGCUCGUUGGUCUAGGGGUACGAUUCCUGCUUAGGGUGCAGGAGGUCCCGGGUUCAAAUCCCGGACGAGCCC